AUUGAACGCUGGCGGCAGGCCUAACACAUGCGAGUCGAGCGGAUGAAGGGAGCUUGCUCCUGGAUUCAGCGGCGGACGAGUGAGUAAUGCCUAGGAAUCUGCCUGGUAGUGGGGGAUAACGUCCGGAAACGGGCGCUAAUACCGCAUACGUCCUGAGGGAGAAAGUGGGGGAUCUUCGGACCUCACGCUAUCAGAUGAGCCUAGGUCGGAUUAGCUAGUUGGUGGGGUAAAGGCCUACCAAGGCGACGAUCCGUAACUGGUCUGAGAGGAUGAUCAGUCACACUGGAACUGAGACACGGUCCAGACUCCUACGGGAGGCAGCAGUGGGGAAUAUUGGACAAUGGGCGAAAGCCUGAUCCAGCCAUGCCGCGUGUGUGAAGAAGGUCUUCGGAUUGUAAAGCACUUUAAGUUGGGAGGAAGGGCAGUAAGUUAAUACCUUGCUGUUUUGACGUUACCAACAGAAUAAGCACCGGCUAACUUCGUG
RNAcentral lists this ribosomal RNA (484 nucleotides) under uncultured bacterium. RNAcentral describes it as "partial 16S ribosomal RNA". It matches the Rfam family "Bacterial small subunit ribosomal RNA", at positions 30 to 507 of the family's 1533-position model. The record is from RNAcentral.